RNAcentral lists this long non-coding RNA (1090 nucleotides) under Vulpes vulpes (red fox). Its description in RNAcentral is "lncRNA (ENSVVUG00000021869.1)". The record is from RNAcentral. Lineage: Eukaryota; Metazoa; Chordata; Mammalia; Carnivora; Canidae.
GGAGAAGGGGAAAAGCUCCAGGGAAAUAAGACUUGACUUGCUUUCAGAACUCCUCUGGUGCUGGGGGUUGAUUGGCUAAGGUCAGUCUAACACCUUGAUGACAUUUAAAGUUAAAUGAGAUGAUGUAUGCGCGUCCCUAGCAAGGCUGCCAUCUUGGACACAGACUGUGAUGUGAAUGGUGCCUUCCAGAGUUGUGCAGUGAGAUUCCUGUCCCCACACCCUCCAGGAAGUGGAGAGGCUACACAGACCCAGGCUCCCACGAACCCCCUGUGCCCCCUGGUUUUCGGAAAUGUUGCUCUUUGGCCCAGCAGCCCAAGCCCGGGCCCAGGCAUCCCGGCCCUGUUAGGUGCAGCUGGUCUCGGGCCCGUCUCAGCCAAAGCCAAAACAAAGUGACUUGCCACUGGUGGCUGUGCUAAAAAUAAGGAGCCCACACACUACGCCCUUUGAGCAAGCAGGUCAUGCAGCGGAGAUUUCUGUGGGGUGAAGCCUGGGAGAUGAAGGGAAAGAGUCACGGAGGAGCUGAAAGCUGCACAACCGCAGUGAACCAGAGGUGUAGGAAUCCAUGGUGAAGUUGCCAACUGAAAAUUGCCUUUUCAGAAGGCCUGGAUGGGGAGGCCACAGCUGGGGAGUUACUGCAGUAACGGAGAACACAUCAUCCUCAUCCUUGUCUCUCCCACUGACCUUGGAUCACCCAGCAGUGCCACACUGGGUGCUGUGUUCCAGAGAUAAGAUGGAGAACACCCCCCCCCCCGCCACAUUUCUCUUCUUAGGAGGCUUAUAGUUUAAGGGAGAAGAAAGAUAGGCCCAAGCAAGUAUCACCCAAAAUAAUUCCAGAGUGCGAUGAAGUGCUAUAGAGAAAACAAUCAAAAGUCUGAGUUAGGGCAUCCCAUGAGGGAUAUGACUUUCAUAAAGGCAGCAGGCUGUGGUCCUGGAGAGACUGACAUACAAGCAGAUGUGCUGUAAGGAGGAGGGAGAUUGCAGAAUUUGCUGGGGUAGAGGUUGGCAAAGUAUUGAAAAAAGGCAGUGUAGUUGGAGGACGGUAUGCCUCUGGAAUAAUAAAACAAAAUGGAAUGAAAAGAAAAGAAAACCC